Molecule: unclassified non-coding RNA, 2640 nt
Filed under: Hevea brasiliensis (rubber tree)
Lineage: Eukaryota; Viridiplantae; Streptophyta; Magnoliopsida; Malpighiales; Euphorbiaceae
Source: RNAcentral
GUUAACCAAACCGUUAACAACAAACCAAACAAAACUGAAAAAACAGUCUAGGAAAGAAGGAAGAGAGACUCCAAUGGCAUCAAUGACCAUCUCUCUUUCCUUAUCUACAUGUUCUUCAGCAUCUUUCUCCUCUCAAACCAAGACUUCAAUUAAAUCCCAUCAAACCAACUUGUCAUCGACAUUGUUUGGUGCAAAAGUAUGGGUCGACAGUACACUCAGAUCAAAAUCAAUUACCAAGAUAAGCACUUCUAGUGGGAUUACUUGCUUUGCUGCUGCUUCUUCUGUUCUUCCUUCAGCUCUUCUCUUCGACUGCGAUGGCGUGCUUGUUGAUACUGAGAAAGAUGGUCACAGGGUUUCUUUCAACGAUACUUUCAAUGAAAAAGAGUUGGGGGUUACAUGGGACGUGGAUUUGUAUGGCGAGUUGCUCAAAAUCGGAGGUGGAAAAGAAAGGAUGACAGCCUACUUUAACAAGACUGGUUGGCCAGAAAAGGCUCCAAAGAGUGAAGAAGAACGAAAAGAAUUCAUAGCUUCACUUCAUAAGCGAAAGACAGAGUUGUUUAUGGCCCUUAUUGAGAAGAAAUUGUUACCUCUUCGGCCAGGCGUUGCAAAGUUGGUCACUACCAGAUCUUUUGCUUAUCUAAUAACAUUUAAUAAAUACUUGAUGCUUUUGUUUAAUUUGCUGCAUAUAUAUCUUUUGGCAGUAAUUAAGACUUAAAAUAGAACAGGUUGAGAAAAAUUUAGCAGGAACUAAAACCUGGCUUGUAAGUUAUUGUUCUUCUUAAAAAUUACAAUAAAAGUUGCUAGCUGAAUAAAUACUUUAAUUUGGUACCCAAUAUCUUGACGAUUUGGGCUCCAAUUUAUUCUCAUCCAUCCUUGUGAAUGUGUCAAUUAAGAAUAAGCAUUUCCCUUCAAGUCAUUAUCAAUGAAUUUAUCCUGUCCAUGUAGUUUGUUUUUUUCACAUUGUUACCAUUGAUAGAAAGAAUAAGUGACUCCUUUGCUUCAUAAAAAUCUAUGUUCUACUCAAUCUCUGAGUUGAUGAGGGGAGCAGCAGCUCCCACUCCUUAGUUACAGUUGAAGCUAAAAACAUUUAUGUUUAGGCUUUUCAGUUGGAAUUCCUUUUAAGCUAUGGUUUACUGUUGACAUUUAUGAAUGAGGAACUAUAAUCAUGCAAGAAAUUUUUAGCUUUCCCUGUAUCAGCUAUAUGUUCUACAAAUAUGAAUAUGGUCAUAACCAAAAGCAGAUGGUUCACUUAUCGAAAUUUACAGGCUGGUUGAUCAGGCUUUGGGCAAAGGAGUCAAAGUUGCUGUCUGCAGCACUUCCAAUGAGAAGGCGGUCUCUGCAGUAGUUUCAUUUUUGCUGGGACCUGAGAGAGCAGAGAAGAUCAAGGUAUUUGCAGGAGAUGUGGUUCCCCGUAAAAAGCCUGACCCGGUAUGCUUUAUAUGGAAGUAACACAUUUUGAUUUUAGUUUUAUUUGGUUGUAGCUGCAAGUUCAUCAUAUAAUUUAAGUGGUGAUAGUCAUCUCCAAAUGGGAUUUUUAUGAUGACAUGUCAUCAAAUUUUAAGAUCUGUUGAGUCUUGUCAUUAUCAAUCAGUUCUGAAACUGAACAAAAGUUUUCAGUUUUGAAGUUGCAAUUUAUGGAAUAUCCUUUUAGUCUUCACUCAGCUUGACUUUAUCAUUAAACUUGCUAAUGGUAGGAAAAAAUGAGUUCAUGUGCCACUGAUUACAAAGAUGUUUGAUUGUUCCUAACAGGCCAUAUACACAUUAGCAGCCAACACUCUGGGUGUUGAUCCUUCAAGGUAUGAGGGCUUAUUUUAUGUUAUAGUAAGCAAUAAGGUCAUGUUUCAUUUAAAUUAUGCAUUAAAUAAAUUGCGAGGGAUCAAUAUAUGUCCACUAAAUCAUGAAUUGUUUUGAAAUAAAAUCAACUAAGUCAUGCAAAUUCAAGUCUACUGCUAGCAAUUUUAUACUUUUAAAUUGUCCUGCAGUUUGACUUGUUUUAUGCAUGUUCUAUGCCUUAUAUUUUCUUUAAUUGGCAACGACUGAGAAAUAACAAGUGUCAAUUUAUUAAGAGCAAAAACACAUGAUCUUCAUUUCUGCAGUUGUGUAGUGGUGGAGGACAGCGCGAUUGGCCUUGCAGCUGCCAAAGCUGCUGCAAUGAAGUGCAUAGUAACAAAGAGUGGUUACACAGCGGAUGAGGACUUCUUAAAUGCAGAUGCAGUGUUUGAUUGCAUUGGAGAUCCUCCAGAAGAGCGUUUUGACUUGGCAUUCUGUGGAAGCCUUCUUGAAAAGCAAUAUGUCAGCUAGAUCAUGUUAUUCUCUUAACUGUAGCAAUUCCUUAUGGUUUCUUACCUUUAUUUAUUAUCUAGCCAAUUAUGUUUUGAAUCCUGAAAUAAAACAAAAGCUGAUAUGCUAUUACAUUUUAUUUUUGUAGUUUUAUUAUGCAUCUUGCCUUUUUCUAAGGAAUACAUCUCUGCUUCUGUGAACAAGCUGAUCUAAGAAGGUCUUUCUAUUUCCAAUCAAUGUGUUAGCUAGCUCAGGCUGCACAGGAUUCGACCAACUGGCCAAAGAUACCUUUACUUUCUCGAGUAUUCAAUGCCAGCAGGUGAGGCAUAAAACCUGUGAAGCGUUGUUUACAAAGGCAGC